GCCGCGGUGGUUUAGAGGUAGAACGUUCGCCCUGCAUGCGGAAGAUCGGGGUUCGAAUCCCAGCUGCGACA
Ostrea edulis (European flat oyster) is the source of this 71-nucleotide non-coding RNA. The record is from the annotation of a RefSeq genome assembly. Lineage: Eukaryota; Metazoa; Mollusca; Bivalvia; Ostreida; Ostreidae.